AUGCAGGCGUCAAAUGCCACUCUCUCAGGGGAGAGGAAGCACUGUACCAAUACCCGCUGGAACCAGCUGGGGACUUUCCUGAAUGUAGGCUUUGAUUCAAUUGAUUCCGCCAGUGCUUAUCACACUGAGGACCUGGAUUGCAUCCCUUGCUCCCAAUGUGUCUUGGAAGUGCCUAGGCCAGUGAACUGCUCAUCACACACCGUUGGUGCUGCUUCAUGUAGACUCUUCACAAUUUCUUUUGUUGUGGAUAAAAGAGCAGCUGGAAAAAGAUUUUUGCAGAAGAAGUGGUGUCUGCUUCAGUCCUUGGGCACAGCUACUCCAUGGCUCUUUCAWGGGAAAGAUAAGCUCUCACUGGAGCAUGGCCUGAAGCCCUGGAUGCCCUGCUCUCCAGAUGUGUUAGUUGCUCACCUAUCCUUGUCCUGAGAAUUGAUUGUUGCAUCCAUGGGAGAUUGCUGGCAUGAAGAAAACACUUGGAGUAAUUGAGAUCCAGAAUGUAACUGAGGCUGCACAAUCCAGGCUGUCCACUGCCGUUUUCUACUCUGCAUUCAACAGCUCAGAGCCACAAUGGACAGCAGUGACAGACAAGUGGUGUCCCUCAAGGAUGUCUCCUGCAAAUCCAUCGUCUGUUAAAACAGCCCUUGGAAAUGAACUGGUUUGGACGRGCUCCUGCUAAUUUUGACACGGCAGUCAGGAAAGCCCUGAUGUGGUGGAAAGCAGCAAUAAUUUGCCCAGCAAGGAAGAGGUAYGUCAAGGAUCAAACACACUCAUAAGGCUGAGCAGCAGCUGGGAAAGAGGGAGCCAGGGAGGAGAGGGAAGGGUGACCUGGCUGUUCCCAGGUGAGACAGAGCCACUUGACCAAGCGCUGCUGGGGGGAGUCGCGACAUUGCUGCUGCUCCUCUCCCUUCCUCAGCUCCUGACUYGGCAGAGCCCAGUGACACCGAGUGGUGACAGGCAGGGUCCUGCAGCUCUGAUGGGAUGAGAAGUGCCACACAUUCAGGAAAAUGAGACUGUGCUGAGCUCAGGGCCGCAGGGUCAGAGUAAAACUCCUGUGAGAUUUCUCCAGUCUGCCCCAUAGGGUCAUCAGGAAUGAGAAGGG
Long non-coding RNA from Malurus melanocephalus (red-backed fairy wren), 1096 nucleotides. RefSeq lists it as uncharacterized. The transcript has 5 exons. The record is from RefSeq and is a predicted model, not a curated record. Lineage: Eukaryota; Metazoa; Chordata; Aves; Passeriformes; Maluridae.